Molecule: long non-coding RNA, 373 nt
Filed under: Canis lupus familiaris (dog)
Lineage: Eukaryota; Metazoa; Chordata; Mammalia; Carnivora; Canidae
Description: lncRNA (ENSCAFG00030004872.1)
Source: RNAcentral
UAGAAUGGCUAAAGUGAACAUGGAGAGAAGCCACAAAUCAUUCUUGAGAAGGCUAGCCCUAAUCGAAGGAAUUGGAAUUGACUGAAGUUACAGGACUGAAAUAAUAUCAUCCUGGGUUUAAUAGGUGGAUACAAACAACGCUUUUUCAAUUCUCCGUGGAAAGAUCAAGUAAACAUUACUUCCUGGGUAAGUUAUAGCCUUGACUCCAGGAAGGGUGGUGCAGAGAAUCUUGUAACAGGGGGAAACGUGGUGUGAUAUCUUAGAAAAUAAAGAAGGGGGUGCCUGGCUGGCUCAGUCGGUGGAGCAUGGGAGUCUUACUCUUGGGGUUGUGAGUUUGAGCCCAAAGUUGGUAUAGAGAUUACUUAAAAUUUUU